Non-coding RNA from Microcebus murinus (gray mouse lemur), 540 nucleotides. NCBI's taxonomy places the organism in Eukaryota, Metazoa, Chordata, Mammalia, Primates, Cheirogaleidae. The record is from RefSeq and is a predicted model, not a curated record.
UUACGGACUGAGGUCUGCCUCAUCCCCACAGCAGGAGACAAAGGGCUGAGAGCCUACCCUGCAAGUUGCCAAGAGUCUGGUCCAUCCUGACUGAUUGAAGAGUCAAACACAAAUGACAUUUUAAUCACUGGUUGGUGGUCAGGGGAUGGGGGAGGUAGCCAGAUAGACCAGAAGGCAAAAAAGAUCCUUCAGACCUGAAGAAAGGAAGAUCACUCCAUUGGUGCACAGAGGAUGUAUGUCCUUAGCAAAAUGGAACUGUGUCCCAUGCACAUCCGGAUUGUGAAGGACAGAAAGGGGCUAAGUACCAGGAAAAGGCUGGGCCAGGGAAGGAAGCGGCUUUUAUAGCAUAGCUAUCUCAUUCUCCAGCUACUGCCAGGCAACCUACUAAGGAAACUAUGAAUCUCCAAGGGGCUCAUAAGACAAAGAACACAGCAAGGGGAGAGGGGGGAGAUAACACACAAGCUGUUCCUCCACCCUAUGAGGGACAGGAUGGAUAAUGUAUGACCACAAAAGAAAGAAUAAAGUCUAAGGUAUAAUUUA